GUGUCAGCAGCCGCGGUAAUACGGAGGAUGCAAGCGUUAUCCGGAAUUAUUGGGCGUAAAGCGUCCGCAGGUGGUUGGACAAGUCUGCUGUCAAAGCGCGGGGCUUAACUCCGUAAAGGCAGUGGAAACUGUACAACUAGAGUACGGUAGGGGUAGAGGGAAUUCCCAGUGUAGCGGUGAAAUGCGUAGAUAUUGGGAAGAACACCGGUGGCGAAAGCGCUCUACUGGACCGUAACUGACACUCAUGGACGAAAGCUAGGGGAGCGAAAGGGAUUAGAAACCCGAGUAGUCC
RNAcentral lists this ribosomal RNA (292 nucleotides) under uncultured bacterium. RNAcentral describes it as "partial 16S ribosomal RNA". It matches the Rfam family "Bacterial small subunit ribosomal RNA", at positions 505 to 796 of the family's 1533-position model. The record is from RNAcentral.